GAUUUCUAAUGAAGAGGUUAAGCAUGUUAAGCAUGGAUGAAGUGUAAAAUUGCACCAGAAAUUGUAAUUUCAAUCAUUUAUCUCAAUUUUUACCCUUAAGUUGUUUUUGUAUGAAUGUAUAUUACACUUUAAUUGUGUUAGUAAUUUGAAUUCACUUUUCUAAAUACAUAUUUUUGUGUAUUUAUUAUAUAUUGUAUGUGUUAUUAAUUCGAAAGUUAUGUUUCUCUUAUCAAAUAUAUAAAUUUUUAAUUAUUGGAUGC
This 260-nucleotide long non-coding RNA is filed under the name Vigna radiata. RNAcentral describes it as "long non-coding RNA (VRAD_LNC016804)". Lineage: Eukaryota; Viridiplantae; Streptophyta; Magnoliopsida; Fabales; Fabaceae. The record is from RNAcentral.